Molecule: long non-coding RNA, 331 nt
Filed under: Brassica napus (rape)
Lineage: Eukaryota; Viridiplantae; Streptophyta; Magnoliopsida; Brassicales; Brassicaceae
Description: long non-coding RNA (BNAP_LNC005690)
Source: RNAcentral
AGACAACAAACCAAACUCGUAAACAUUAUAAUCAGACAAAAAACCAAACCAUUGUUUCUCCUUCUUUCUUCUCCAAUGAUAUCGUUGUCCGAAGAAGACCGCUAAAUGUCAAAAAUACAAAACCUCCAAUCUCCUUCCACUAAAUCUCUCUCUCUCUCUGUUUAAUCUUGUAAUCUCGUUUCUGUGCAAUGGAGAAACCACCGGAAAAAGUGAACAAGGGGUUUCAGAGGCCCAAAGACCAAACCGGUCUCGAAAUCGAAGAAAGGCUGAAAGACUCAGUGGUGGAGCUCCCGGUUUACAUGGUCCCGCCGUCCUCCUCGAGUACCUCGCU